CCUACGGGAGGCUGCAGUGGGGAAUAUUGGACAAUGGGGGCAACCCUGAUCCAGCCAUGCCGCGUGUGUGAAGAAGGCCCUCGGGUUGGAAAGCACUUUCAGUGAGGAAGAACGCCUGGUGGUUAAUACCCAUCAGGAAAGACAUCACUCACAGAAGAAGCACCGGCUAACUCCGUGCCAGCAGCCGCGGUAAUACGGAGGGUGCGAGCGUUAAUCGGAAUUACUGGGCGUAAAGCGCGCGUAGGUGGCUUGAUAAGCCGGUUGUGAAAGCCCCGGGCUCAACCUGGGAACGGCAUCCGGAACUGUCAAGCUAGAGUGCAGGAGAGGAAGGUAGAAUUCCCGGUGUAGCGGUGAAAUGCGUAGAGAUCGGGAGGAAUACCAGUGGCGAAGGCGGCCUUCUGGACUGACACUGACACUGAGGUGCGAAAGCGUGGGUAGCAAACAGGAUUAGAUACCCCAGUAGUC
Molecule: ribosomal RNA, 465 nt
Filed under: Vreelandella stevensii
Lineage: Bacteria; Pseudomonadati; Pseudomonadota; Gammaproteobacteria; Oceanospirillales; Halomonadaceae
Description: partial 16S ribosomal RNA
Rfam family: Bacterial small subunit ribosomal RNA
Source: RNAcentral